GAUGAAGAACGUAGCGAAAUGCGAUAAGUAGUGUGAAUUGCAGAAUUCAGUGAAUCAUCGAAUCUUUGAACGCACAUUGCGCCCCUUGGUAUUCCAUGGGGCAUGCCUGUUCGAGCGUCAUUUGUACCUUCAAGCUCUGCUUGGUGUUGGGUGUUUGUCUCGCCUCUGCGUGUAGACUCGCCUUGAAACAAUUGGCAGCCGGCGUAUUGAUUUCGGAGCGCAGUACAUCUCGCGCUUUGCACUCAUAACGACGACGUCCAAAAGUACAUUUUUACACUCUUGACCUCGGAUCAGGUAGGGAUACCCGCUGAACUUAAGCAUAUCAAUAAGCGGAGGA
RNAcentral lists this unclassified non-coding RNA (337 nucleotides) under soil metagenome. RNAcentral's name for it is "partial contains 5.8S ribosomal RNA, internal transcribed spacer 2, and large subunit ribosomal RNA". The stretch from base 1 to 120 matches the Rfam family "5.8S ribosomal RNA", at positions 35 to 154 of the family's 154-position model. The record is from RNAcentral.